GGAGAAGGGGUGGGGCAGGGUAUCGCUGACUCAGCAGCUUCCAGGUUGCUCCGAUGAUAUAUUAAGGCUCCUGAAUCCUAAGAGAAUGUUGGUGAAGAUCUUAACACCACGCCUUGAGCAAGUCGCAAGAGCGGGAGGACACAGACCAGGAACCGAGAAGGGACAAGCACACGGAAGCCAGCCCAGCAUCCGGGCCCAGACACUUGAUGGACCCACACAUAUUCACUUCCAACUUUAACAACGGCAUUGGAAGGCGUAAGACCUACCUGUGCUACGAAGUGGAGCGCCUGGACAAUGGCACCUCGGUCAAGAUGGACCAGCACAGGGGCUUUCUACACAACCAG
This 344-nucleotide small RNA is filed under the name Pan troglodytes (chimpanzee). RNAcentral's name for it is "retained intron". Lineage: Eukaryota; Metazoa; Chordata; Mammalia; Primates; Hominidae. The record is from RNAcentral.